This is a long non-coding RNA of Loxodonta africana (African savanna elephant), 7812 nucleotides long. RefSeq lists it as uncharacterized. The record is from RefSeq and is a predicted model, not a curated record. The transcript has 2 exons. Lineage: Eukaryota; Metazoa; Chordata; Mammalia; Proboscidea; Elephantidae.
GGAGCCGCCCUUCCCCCCCCCUUACAUUUCCCAUAAUCCCCAAGGAGUGGUGUCUGCGCCUGCGUGGCCCGAACUCUUAACGCAUCCCUAGCGCUAGAGGCCAGGUCCCUUAGAGACGCGAACGCACGCGAACGCUAAGACGAACGGAUGUGGCGUUCUCGGGGUGGCGGAAGUAGAAUUUUUGGAGCGACGGAAGUGGCUAGAGCGGCUGUCACAGCAUGAGACGGAGGCGAGAGGACCAGAACCUGGUGAUAGGGACCCGACUUCCGCCGAUUUCAUUCCUGAGGCCGAUGGGCAGCCCUGCGUGAGGCGAGGACGGCAGAUGCCUGAUGGGGACUCGGCCCGAGCUUCCAGGCCCCUCUUCCUUCCCCUCACGCAGCUUGGACACCAGCAGUCGCCCGUCGUUCGCCGAGCCCUGAAAGAGCAGGUGCUGGGUGUAUUGGGCAAAGAACCAGGGGCGCCCGGCGGGAGUGACUCUUGCGGAGUCUCAAGGUGCCUGUGCCUGUCCUCGGACUGGCAGCUGAGGUGACCCCCAUCCCUUUGGUCUGGCAGUCUCUGUAAGUGAAGGAGGUCCCGCGUGUAGCAGUUUUGCAUAGGCUGCACCUUUUUCUUAGGGGAAGGGAGUCGUCAACCUACACCACCACCGAAGGAUGGGGUGGCUGCAAGCUGGUCCAUGUGUGGACAGCUCGUGGGCAGGCAGCCAUGGACAUGGUAUACCACAAGCUCCCAGUCACCAUGUAGCAUCACCCUGAUGCCCACGUCAGACCUCCUUCCACCAGUGCUCAGUGUAUGAUGGCUCAACCUGGCUGUAUCCUCUACCUUGGGCCUGUCGCACACCCCAUGUCACUGCAGAUGCAUCAGGUUCCUGGAAGGAAACCCGGGAAUGGUUGGACUCUGCUGACUUGUGUCAUCAGCGUGAUGGGCCUAAGCAGGUGAUCUCAAGUCUCAGCUGUGCCCCAGCAUAGGCUCUGGCAAAACUGAAGGUACAUGUGUCUUGGGGGCCCCAGACUGUGGGUGGGGUCCAGAGGCUCUUGAAACUCCAGAUUCUUCCUGCUGUGGCUGCACUCCCCUGUGGGGCAAAGGUGGAGCUGAAGCCUCACAUCCCCUCCCACCGAAGCCUCUCCCCAGCUCAGACACACCUGGGCUUUCAGAGAAGGGAACAGAGCUUUUGAGGUGCAGGUCAGCGCUGGGUGAGUUUGGGUGCAUCCAGCUUUCCAAACCAACUCAGAGCCUACACCAGGUGACCUGUAGGGAGGGAUCUGGGGCCCAAUGGCAUUGUUGGUGAGGCCACACACUACAUGCCACCCGAGGGCUCAAUCUGCAGCCAGCUGGGUCACACUGUGCUGAAUGAGGGAGGGAACUAGUGGCACAGAUAAAGCAGUGACAGUGAAGGUCAAACAUGCAUAAGCCCGUGAGCCAGUGAAGUCCAAGCCUCAAAUACCAGUGGGCCAAGCUGCCCUAUGCCUGUGGGGCCAGCCAAGGACAGUUCAGUGAGCCACUGAGGGGAUGCAGCCAGCUGGGAGCAUCAUCUGUUCAUGAUUGUGUCCAAGGGCAGGGUGGGGGGCUGAGAUGCAAAUGAAGGUUGAGGGCCAUAGGUCAACCAGAGUGACAGAUGACCACAGGCAGCCAGCACCAACUGGUGGGCGGAGACAAGCUUAGGGAGGCAACCUGUGGUGUAAUGAGCUCCUUUAUAAGAUUUUUUGCCUUAGCUCUUUAGGAAAACAACUCGGGAGAUUUUCCCCCUAUGCCCUGAGGAGUUUUUACCUUUGUCCUAAUCCUUUGGAGAAGGUACGGAAGGCUCCCAGGUUGUUUUCUUCCCCCCAAAAUUUGUUAUGUUUGUCCAGGUGAUUCUCCAGGCUGGUCUGGUGAGGGAGGCCCUGCCUUGUAACCAGGGCUUCAAACUGGUUCCUUCCGGUUCAAACCCCUGCUGGGAAUUUUAGUUUUCACCCCAGAUACACUGAAUCAGAAUGUACAUCUUAACAACAUCCCCAAGUGACUCUUAAGAAUGAUAAAUUUUGAGAACCGCUGCUGUAUGAGUGGUUCUCAAAAUUGGUCCCAAAUCACCAUAGUUUCAGGGGACAUCUAAGUCAAUUGACAUAAUAAAAUCUAUUAAGAAAACAUUCUGCAUCCCACCUUGGAGAGUGGCACAUGGGGUCUUAAACGCUAGCAAGCAGCCAUCUAAGAUGCAUCAGUUGGGUCUCAACCCACCUGGAUCAAAGGAGAAUGAAGAACACCAAGGACUCAAGGUAAUUACGAGCCCAAGAGACAGAAAGGGCCACAUAAACCAGAGACUACAUCAUCCUGAGACCAGAAGAACUAGAUGGUGCCCGGCUACAACCAAUGACUGCCCUGACAGGGAGUACAACAGAGAAUCCCUGAGGGAGCAGGAGAGCAGUGGGAUGCAAAGCUCAAAUUCUCAUAAAAAGACCAGACUUAAUGAUCUGACUGACACUAGAAAGACCCUGGCGGUCAUGGCCCCCAGACCUUCUGUUGGCCCAGGACAGGAACCAUUCCCAAAGCCAACUCUUCAGACAUAGAUUGGACUGGACAAUGGGUUGGAGAGGGACGCUGGUGAGGAGUGAGCUUCUUGGGUCAGGUGGACACUUGAGACUAUGUUGGCAUCUCCUGCCUGGAGGGGAGAUGAGAGGGUAAAGGGGGUUAGAAGCUGGCAAAAUGGACAUAAAAAGAGAGUGGAGGGAGUGGGCUGUCUCAUUAGAGAGCAAUUGGGAGUAUAUAGCAAGAUGUAUGUAAGUUUUUACGUGAGAGACUGACUUGAUUUGUAAACUUUCACUUAAAGUGCAAUAAAAAAAAAAAAAAAAAAAAAUCGGUCCCAAAUCAACAGCAUUAGCAUCACAACGGAACUUGUUAGAAACUCAAAUUCUCAGCCGGGGUUCAAACCUGAAUGAAAUGGUUGUAAGCCCUGCUUGGAACUGAUGAGGAUCAGGACAAAGAAGUGGCAAAGGUUUAAGAAACUUCCUGAUCGAGAGGGUAAACUGUCUCCAUACAAUUUCCAAGUCAGGAAAGGUGUGCAUCAGGGUUGUAUUUUUUCACCAUAUCUAGUCAAUCUGUAUGCUUAACAAAUAAUCCAAGAAGCUGGACUAUAUGAAGACGAACAGGGCAUCAGGAUUGGAGGAAGACUCAUUAACAACCUGCGUUAUGCAGGUGACACAACCUUGCUUGCUGAUUAAAGUGAAGACUUGAAGCACUUACUGAUGAAGAUCAAAGACCACAGCCUUCAGUAUGGAUUGCACCUCAACAUAAAACAAAAAUCCUCACAACUGGACCAAGGAGCAACAUCAUGAUAAACGGAGAAAAGAUUGAAGCUGUCAAGGAUUUCAUUUUACUUGGAUCCACAUUCAACAGCCAUGGAAGCAGCAGUCAAGAAAUCAAGACUCAUUGCAUUGGGCAAAUCUGCUGCAAAGGACCUGUUCAAAGUGUUGAAAAGCAAAGAUGUCGCCCUGAAGACUAAGGUGCGCCUGACCCAAGUCAUGGUAUCUUCAAUAACAUGCACAUGGAAGCUGGACAAUGAAUAAGAAGACCGAAAAAGAGCUGACAGCUUUGAAUUGUGGUGCUGGCGAAGAAUAUUGGAUAUACCAUGGACUGCCAAAAGCAUGAACAAAUCUGUCUUGAAAGAAAUGUGGCCAGAAUGCUCCUUAGAGGCAAAGGUGGCGAGACUGCGUCUUACAUACUUUGGACAUGUUGUCAGGAGGGAUCAGUCCCUGGAGAAGGACAUCAUGCUUGGCAGAGUACAGGGCUGGCGGAAAAGAGGAAGACCCUCAACAAGGUAGAUUGACACGGUGGCUGCAACAAUGAGCUCAAGCAUUACAAUGACUGUAAGGAUUGCGCAGGACUAGGCAGUCUUUCGUUCUGUUGUGGAUAGGGUUGCUAUUGAGUUGGAACUGACUCAACGGCACCUAACAACAACAACAUACGCUUUCCAGGGAGCUCCUGGUGGAUACCAGCAGCCAACCUUUUGGUUAUCAGCCAUAACUCUCAACCACUACACCAUCAAGGUUUCCAGUUAAGAGAGAGAUGCUAAGAGCUGGGCCGGCAGGGAAGUAGAGCCACGUGGGUGCCUGGUGGUCCUGAAGCUGCUACACUGGCUAUGAACUGGGCCAGUUAGCAGCAAAGGCCAGAAGCUGAGCAUACUCCUACAAUGGCUGUGAGCUGGGCCAGUUAGUGGCAGAGAGGCCGUCACAGCGGGGCGAGGCCUGCUUGGCAGAGAAGGCAGCCCAACAGAGAAGUCACACCCACUGACCACUGGAGGCCUGUGUGCCUCCUAACGCUGAUCAAGUUGUUCUUGCUACUUUCAAAUUGAUCCUGAUCCUGAGCUGCAGCUGGCUAUUUCCCUAAUAAACCAUAUAACCACGCGUAUGGUCUGGAGUACCGUGUGGUCACUACGAUGAAUUAUCGAACCAUGCAGAGAAGUAGAGAAUGCCAUGGGGGGAACAGCUGGUGUCACAUGGUAAAGUUGGAGAGCGGAGUUUAAGUCUGACCUCCACCUCAUAGGAACCACCUUUAUGCUGAUCUGAUUUUUAUCUCCCAAGAAUUUAGACAAAUCAUUUCAUGAUACACACGGAUAACCAGGGGAGCUGGCUCAUGGCCUCACAGUGCCCUGGUAGGACAUGACUAUGACCACCUCGAGCAGGAAGGGGACACAACUGAGGUGGCCAAGGUCACACGCCAAAUGCCCAUUAAGCCAAAUCACUUUGGCAAGUUUUCAAACCUUCCCUUCUCUGGAUCCUAAGAACCGUUUGUCCCGACAGCAGAUGGCCGAGUCCCACCAUCCUCCAGUGAGAGCACGCACACACGGCUCAGUACAAAAGCCAACACUUUAAUGAGAUGGAGCAGCGACAGCGUGGACGUACCACUACAACGGAUAGCGCCAGCUGCGCACACCACCACUGUCAUAACAAGCGAGCAGAGGGACAAACUACAAACCCUUCAACGUUCCAAAGGUCCUGAGUAGAGAGAAUUGUUUAUUUAACCACAUAAAAUGCAUAUAUAGGAAACUUCUCUAUUUAGGAGCUGGCGGCCUGCACGCAGCAUUGCACAGAUAAAAAUAUACGACUUUCAACACAGAUCGAAAUACCUUCACAUUUUAAAAAUCAGAAUUCUCUACACAAGUCUCAAGCUGACAGAAUCCAAGUUGAGUUUUCAUAUACAGCUUUCACUUGUAUACAACACAUGUUUAUUUACAACAUUGACAGAGAGUAAGGGACUGUUAAGGCCAUUUUCUCGUAUUGUACUGUUAAACACCGCAAAAUAUGUACAUAAGUACAACCUAAUAUAGGCAAAGGUUCUAAAAAUCAUUUUUCUUGGUUUAACGUAAUUGAGCAUCAGUAUGGGGAGAGGAGACAGCUUGUCUUUAGCACCGAGCUCCACCACCGUCACCGUGUGCACUUCUGUUCCUUCCACCAGCCACUAGGCUGGGGGUGCCCCGUGCUUAAAAGGGUAUGUGCCUCACACCCAGGCACAGGGUCGUGGGUAGGUGCACAGGCCGGCCAGCUGAGGGGCACCUCACUGCCCUCUCAAUUCCACCUUGAAAUUCAUAACAAGGUCCAAAGAAUCAAUGGCAUUCCCAAAGGGAGCCAUGCAGAAGGGACAGUCACAAGGUGUGUGGCAUGAGGGCUGGGGCGGGGGGGGCAGGACUCCAUGCCCUGAGAAGCAGCUGUCCAGCAGCCACUAUAGGGCCCUGCGCUCACCUGCGAUGUCUGCUGUGCCCCGGGUGGUCCCGCUCGUAGCGGCGACCCGUUCGCUCAUAUGACCGAGAACGCUCCCGCCUCUCAUCUCGGUAGUAAUGACUUUUCUUCUUGUAUUUUCCAGGAUUCUCUGCCCGCUCCCGUGAGCGGCUACGAGAGCGGGAUGAGCUCCGGCUCCGGGACUUUGGAGGCUUCUGGGCGGGGUACUUGCAGUCCCUGGACUUGGUGUAGCUCCUCACCUUGGAGCCUUUGUACGGGGCACCAGGGCGCACCUGUCUUGGGGGUGAGUCACUGCGACUCCGUGAGCGGCUCUGAGACUUGGACCCACUGGAUGUCGACCCGCUGUCACUUUUCCUGGAGGAGAGGGGAGGGAGGCACCACCACUCCGGUGACUGACUGUCCCAACCAGAACCCAUGGACACGCUGUGGGGGGCUCACAGAGACAUGGGCCCCCACUCCACAGAGAAACCUGCCUCUACCUGACUGUACCCCAGGUGAGCUGAGAUGCACAUACCUUCUCUUUGGGGAGGCAGACCCUGACCGGGAUCUUGAGGGGCUCUGCUCACGGCUCCGGCUCUGGCUCUCUCUCCCCUUUGGCAAGCUGUGAGGGAGAAACAGUCAGACCUGUGGUCCUCCUAGUUAGUUAGCCCCCAGCUGCCACAAAGGCAGUGUGUGGCAGGUGGUCUUACCCGUUCACAGGGCUGUCAGCCUUGGCUUUCUUUGAGGCCUCUGGUUUCCUCUUGGUGUUCUUCACGGACAAUGGAGAGGGCUUACUCCCUUUGCUUUCUUUGGGAGAUUCUACUAGAAUCAAGUAUGGGGAGUUAAAAAAUGAUCAUCAGAAAGCUGUUUCAAUAAGGGGCAAGACUCAGCAGAGUAAGACACGGCCACUCCAUGGUACGGAUGGGACAUAAGCUAGCAGGGACUUUCCGUUCCUGGCCUGAAACUCGAAACCUCACACAAAUCAAAGAUGCAGACAGGCCACGUGUAGCCCUCAUUUGUCAGGAGCAGGGGCUUCUAGUAUCUGCUACAAACUUUUCAUCAAAGGACAAGUUCAUCGGGUGGAUCAGAUGACCAGGAACAUUCUGGAAGCCUGCCCACAUUCCCUGUUAUGAUCAUAGAAACAGCGUGCUCCUCCAGGGGCCCCAGUCACAUGCACAGAUUUCCAGCGGUCAUUGGGACCUGAUGCACGCAAAGAGCUCAAGCAGGCUGCUGACUGAAUCCCAACAGGGCUCUAAGAGAAGGCAGGGAGGCACAUCCCCAGAUGAGGGCUCAGGCUCUGUGCUCCCCACACUCACCAAGCUUGGGGGCGGGAGAGAAUCCGGAUGUGCCGUCCAGAACCUGUGUGCCACCAGCAAGCAGGCCCUUUGCCUGUGCCUUUGCCUCCUCGAUGGCAUGUUUUCUCUUUUCCACUUCACUUUCCAGGUGUGUCAGAUCAACCUGUAAAAGGCACCACCACUGAUUCAGAACCAGAUGUUUCUGACCAAACACAAAUGUAUGUGUCACACAGAAAAGCAUAAAAGAACCUUUUUCCGGGUAUACAGCUGCAGGAUUUUUAAGCAGAUCUCCUGGAUUUCUUCUUCAGUUGCUCCAAACAAAAGAAACCAGUGGGGACGAUUAGGCAGAGGAAUCUGCAAACACAAACACCACGACAUUACACUUUUCUCAGCAUGUCAGACCAACAAGGGUGUUUUAGGUACUUGAGUGGUGUGCUUUUAGGGGCCCGGCAGAGGCACAUCUGAAGCAGCACACACAGGUGUCUCCAGGUGAACACUGACCUCGAGCGUGCGGGCGGCGAGGUAAAUGCAGGCGCAGGCGAUGCUCUCAGGCUGGAACCUUACAAACACGUCUGUGCGAAGGCUGUCGUUCAUGUAGUUCCUGAAAAGCAAAAGCCAAGGAAUUGCAGCACCCGGCACCCUGACCUCCGUCCACACAUCUAGGUAAGGCGCGCCCCCUCUAAGUGGUCUACUGUCAGGGCUGAGGGCGUGGCAGUUGUGGGAGCCUCAAGAGCUAGUGGAGAAACAUCCUAGCCACUUUUUCCGUAUAUAGGACAGGGAGACAGAAAUUAUUAAAAAAGAAGAAAAAAAAAAAAAGCUGGCUGAAUGUCAGACAA